CCUACGGGCGGCAGCAGUGGGGAAUAUUGCACAAUGGGGGGAACCCUGAUGCAGCAACGCCGCGUGAGUGAUGACGGCCUUCGGGUUGUAAAGCUCUGUCUUCAGGGACGAUAAUGACGGUACCUGAGGCGGAAGCCACGGCUAACUACGUGACAGGAGCCGCGGUAAUACGUCGGGGGCGAGCGUUGUCCGGAUUUACUGGGCGUAAGGGGAGCGUAGGCGGACUUUUAAGUGAGAGGUGAAGUCCCCGGGGUCAACGCGAGUGCUGCAUUUCAAACUGGAAGUCUAGAGUGCAGGAGAGGAGAAUGGAAUGCGCAGUGUAGCGGUGAAAUGCGUAGAGAUUAGGAAGAACACCAGUGGCGAAGGCGACUCGCUGGACUGUAACUGACGCUGAGGCUCGAAAGCGUGGGGAGCAAACAGGAUUAGAUACCCGGGUAGUC
RNAcentral lists this ribosomal RNA (440 nucleotides) under uncultured bacterium. Its description in RNAcentral is "partial 16S ribosomal RNA". It matches the Rfam family "Bacterial small subunit ribosomal RNA", at positions 338 to 795 of the family's 1533-position model. The record is from RNAcentral.